RNAcentral lists this ribosomal RNA (281 nucleotides) under uncultured prokaryote. Its description in RNAcentral is "partial 16S ribosomal RNA". It matches the Rfam family "Bacterial small subunit ribosomal RNA", at positions 524 to 803 of the family's 1533-position model. The record is from RNAcentral.
UACGUAGGGGCGAGCGUUGUCCGGAAUGACUGGGCGUAAAGGGCGUGUAGGCGGCCGAUUAAGUCCGGAGUGAAAGUCCUGCUUUCAAGGUGGGAAUUGCUUUGGAAACUGGUAGGCUUGAGUGCGGAAGAGGUAAGUGGAAUUCCCAGUGUAGCGGUGAAAUGCGUAGAGAUUGGGAGGAACACCAGUGGCGAAGGCGACUUACUGGGCCGUAACUGACGCUGAGGCGCGAAAGCGUGGGGAGCGAACAGGAUUAGAUACCCUGGUAGUCCCUGAGCGGG